CGGGACGGAGGCGCCUCUGGUCCGAGCGCGGGGACUCGACGAGCAGCGCGGGAAAGAGAGGGGAGCCACGGGCCGGGGCUCUCCCCGACUGCAAGGCGGAUCUGGCAUCUGAAUCAGGAACGGCUGGUGCAGUUGUGGGCUGGAUGAAGGCUAGAAAACCAAGGCUGAAUCCUGGCAAGAUGAAAGCUUGUGUGUGAUAGUGGUUCCUGGAUCUGGGACGUCAGAAUGAAUCAGAAUCAAAGUAGCUUUAGGAACAAGAGGUGUGCUGUCAAGGAGGGACAUUGAACUUCAGCUUCAAUAACAAAAUGUGGAUCUUGGAACCCCUUUCUUUGGCCUUCAGGACUCUCCUCAGACGAGCUUCCUCUCUUCAGGCCACACCCCUCAAUGGCCCUGGGCUGCUGCCCUGAGCUCCUUUGGAGGAGGAAAGGCAGGAUGUGAAGUUAAUUAAUAAAUAACUUAAAACAGAUUAAUCAACUAAUGCCUUAGGCUGCCAUCUCAACAGGAUUCAGUUCAGUGCUAUACAUCAGAGUGGGCAAUGUUUUUGAAGGCUGCAUCCCCUCCAGAUAAUCUGUCAUGAGCUGCAUUCCAGCUGUGGACAAAGUCUGAGAGAAAAAGUGUUCUGUAUUAAUGAAUCCAGAAUAAAGACCAGUUUGCUUCAGUUUUCACCAAAGCUAUCUCAGAUGAGAAUUCCCAACCUGAGAAGUCAGUCCCACUGUGUUUGCUGGGAUCUUAACUGUACAGAGGAUUUUUUAAACAACAACAACAGUUCAGUACAGCUACUGUUCUGGAAAACAAAGUAAUUUAUGGCUUUAGUUUGCUACACACACAGUAGAAGCCUACUAAUUUGUUCUCCGACAGCUGGGAGGUGGGUGGAACUUCUUUUCUCUAAGCCAUGCAACCUGGAAAAGAGUUAAAUCAACAACAGCAAAAUUUGUUUCCAACAAAUAAAAUGCUGCUCAUUUCAGCUUGGAAGCUACAACGAAAGAGGAACAGGGUGCAUUUAAAAGCCGGGGGAAAUAAAGAAGAAAUGAACAUGAAUUCUGAUAGAAUGGAAGACGAGGGCAGCUUCAAGAGGUGUUGAAAGUUUCACAACAUGAGGCUGAGGCUGCAUGCAGUUGGUUGCUGAUCUGUGAUAUAUGCACUCGCUUAUAAAUGAGUCCCACUCAAGUCAGGAAAAAAAGGCACACAGCUGGUCCAUCUAGUUCAGCAUUACCUACUCUGUCUGGCAGUGGCUCUCCAGGGUUUCAAACAGUGGACAUUUCUAGCCCCACCUGCAAUGCCAGGAAUAAAAAUUUGGACUUUCUGCGUGCAAGGCUGAUGCUUUGCUACUGAGCUUUGGUCCUUCCCAAUUUAUGAGAUAACGUGACUUACUUCUGAGUACAUAGAACCUCCUUAUACCUAUCUCAGUAGUGUCUACUCUCAGUGUCAGUGUGUUCCAGGGCUUCAGACAGGAGGAAUCUUAACAGGAGAUGCUGGUGCCUGAAUCUGGAACCACCUUCCAGCAAAGCACAUCCUGUAUCACUGAGCUUUGGCCAUACUAAUUCUAUUGGUAUGUCUUUGAGUAGGCAUUCAUAAGUUCAUGCUACAAAUCUCUGCACGGACACCCUUGGGAAUGGGGUUGGUGGGGAGCAUGUGCCUUUGCUGGCAUCUGUUUGUGCCUCCCUAGGAAUGCCCUCCACCCAUCCGCUGAGAACCACAGUGCUCCAAAUCUUGCACAGAUGCUGGUGAACUCCAGAAAUUCGAGUAAGCUAAAUGAACAGACUCUACAGCAUGUUGGGCUGUAAGAAUUCCUUGGCUUCCCUACAAUAUUUAUUCUUCAGCGUGGUAGAUUUCUCUCUCUUUUCCUUAAAUACAGAGCUGUAUUUUCAAAGCCGAAUUCCCUCCCUUCAUAUCUGCUUUCAAAAUAUUCCCCACAGGCGUAUUCCGCAACACAUCAUUGAUGCAGUUAUAACGCCUUAGUCGCGGGUUGAUGCUGGACCAUCUACACAUCGUUCUGCUUUAUUAGUUGUUUCUGUGAUGCUUCCCCAGUGUUAUUGUGUUGUUGUCAUCUGGAGGGAUGCUUUUGUGCUAUGGUGCAGCAAACAUGGGGGGGGGGACCAACAACAACAACAAAAACCCUCACGGAACAUUUGCUGUAUGAGAAGUUACAGGAUUUCAGCAAGAAGCUACAAGACAUGUAUCAACUGAAAAUGAAGCAACAUGUCUAGCCCAAAACAUACGCAGGCACAAAAAGUAUUGAAAGUGGGAUUGUGUAUAAUUGUGCUGAUAUCACAAUGAGCACAAAUGACCAUUAAUGGAAGGGCCCUAAGUUCAGGUUGAAACUUUUGCAGGCUCAAGUAGUAUUGAUAGCAGGAGCUCAUAGAACCACCUGGUACCAUGAGAACAUUUCUAAGUUUCACAGCUGUGCAAAAAUCCAAUCUCACCCGCUGAAUUGACGCUCAGUUAAGCAAAACCUCUAUUUAGAUUUCCCAUGCAUUCAAUAAGCUCUGAUUCAGCGGGUUGAGAUCAGACCUUUGCAAGGCACAUCCACGUAACAAUGAGAAAAGCUCUUGUACCCCGGGGGAAUUAAUCUGCACACAAUGUGAUUAAAAUACAGGUUAAACGAAAGUGUGGAUGAGCCCUUACUUGGUUUAUCAAAGAUAGGCCAAACAUUGAAACGAGAUUGAGGAAAAAACAGAGCUGUGUUUGAACUGGUUGCUGUGAACAGGUGGCCUCUAGCGGUAGCAAUGAAUACUUGCAAGGUAUAACUAAUUAGCAGGGGUUUUUGUGUUGAUGGUGAAAUCAUACCUUAUAUCUUCCUCUCUGCUCCUUGCCUUAAUGUUCAAAUGUUAUUUUUAUGGUAGCACCUUUAUUUGAACUGAUUACCUAUCAGUUAUCUAUUAUAGUUUAUUAGAGAUAUGAAACCAGACAUUCUCUUCCAAGGCAAAGCUGGUGGCGACCUACAAAACAGCUUUUUCUAUAGUGGUGCGAGGCAUUACACAUUUAGGUUAUCUUCCACUUUUUAUGUCUUCUGUUAGCAUAGCAAUUGAAACAUUUUCCUUUUGAAACAAGCUUUUGAGUCUGUUGCACCUUAAUGUAUUGCUAGUGCUACACUUCCGGGGUUUUUCUCUUUCUUUUCUUUUUGCUGCUGUUUUGAAUUUGUAUAUUUGUAUUUUUAAAUGGUUAUAAUCAUUGUUUUAGCUUGCUUUGUAUUUGUAUUUCGCUUUCAGAAACUUGUUUGUGGAGCGAGUACAUAUAUAUAUAUAUAGAGAGAGAGAGAGAGAGAGAGAGAUGGAGUUUAUAAAUUUUAUAAACAGUCUCCUAUGCUCUUAAUGUACAAAUUGCCAGAAUGCCCUCCUGGAUAACUGCUACAAAGAUGCAUACUUGCCACUAUUAUCAAUGCUUUUUAAAAAUCCAAGUUAAAUUACUACAUUGAGUUGUACAUGGGGCAGCUCUUGAAGACAGUCCAGAGACUUUGAUUGGUGGUUAUCCAGAGCUUGCCAUUCUAAACAUAUAGGUCCUUUCUAAGUCCUGUUUUAAAAGAUCUGCAUUUGUGUUGUUAUGUACUGAAAUUCUCACCCUGGGCCAGCAGGAGGAUACUGUAGAUAGUUUUCACUCAGGUCCAC
Podarcis muralis (Common wall lizard) is the source of this 3605-nucleotide non-coding RNA. NCBI's taxonomy places the organism in Eukaryota, Metazoa, Chordata, Lepidosauria, Squamata, Lacertidae. The record is from RefSeq and is a predicted model, not a curated record.